Rattus norvegicus (Norway rat) is the source of this 4807-nucleotide non-coding RNA. The record is from RefSeq and is a predicted model, not a curated record. NCBI's taxonomy places the organism in Eukaryota, Metazoa, Chordata, Mammalia, Rodentia, Muridae.
CCUGUGGGUGAAAGGUAGUUUGGGAAAGAUGUCGAGGGUAGACAAAUCAGGGGCCUGUACUCCUAACCCCACUUACUGUCACAUUUCACUGCUGCCACAGUGAAACUGAACACACCCUCGGAAAUGGCCUCCCCUGUCCCGGCAAAGCUCCCUCCAAAGAUAGCUUGGUCCAGGUGGGGGAGAGGUCAUCUAAGGCUCAAGGUCCUGGUGUUCACUUUGGAACUCUACACGAUUUCAGAUGAAGCCGCAGGGUCAGUGCUGCGGCCAUGUGCUUUCCAUGUGAAUGCGUCUGGGACUGUUAGCAUUUGGCAUCCCUCUUUGCUCCACACAUAAUAUCACCAGAUCCUCUCUCAUUCACGCUUACUCUAAGAGUAGCUACCCAGUCACAACAGUUGUGGGAACCUCUGGGCAACAACAGGGCAGGGACAUCUGCAGUGACUCUCAUGCACUCCCAUGCCUGUGCUUGGCUUAGCUGAGAUCUAACCACACCCUCUUGCUGAUGCCUCCCAUCAUCCUCUCCUUCAGCAAAAGCGGUCUUUGUCUACCUUCGCCUAUCCUGUCUGAGUCCACCCUGGUUCCCAGAGGCUGUGGGUCAACCAAGGACUGGCCUGCCGGAUAGAACGAAGGCACUUGACCCAGAAACCUGAGUAUCCUGCCAGAUCCAAGGCCCCAUCCUGCGUACCAGUCACCCUCAUUGUUUGCUCCUGCAUGGAGUCGUUCUCCCUCCUGUAGCCAAGGGGCUGAAGCUCCUUGGUAAUAUGUAUUCCUCCUCCUCGAGAAACACAGAUGGCCCGGGAGAGGAUGCUUGGGGGAAGGUACCAGGAACGGUAGGAAAUCCUCAGAGAGAUCACUGCUAGAGCCAGCCUUAAACCUAGCCAGGAACUGCCGACAGUUAAGGAAGGGAAAGUGCCAAGAAAUCCUCUCUCCCUCCUGGUGAAACCCACCCACACGGCCACGCAGGAACACAACCUGUGCUUCAGCCCUAGCGAUGUUCCUCCCUCUCCCGCUCCAGCAGCUCAGUGCUAGGCUAGGCACCCAGCGGGGACGUGGAGAUGGGCUCCCCCUGGCAGCAGUGGGGAGGGAAGGAGAGGAUGAAGAACAGAGAUCAGGGAGGGGGCAUCUAUACAUGGGUGCUGGACUCUAGUAGGAAGGAGAAAUCAGGAUCAAGGGAUAGGCCAGGUGCUCUGUAAGGUCGGCAUCUCUAAGACAGAGGGGACCUCACGGGCACUUUCAAGGACUGGGGAAACCACCUUGUACGGAAGCCAUGUUGGGAGCAUAGUAUGGAAUAUACUUGUCACCACUGUCCUCAGAAAGGCAUUUAAAUGCCUUUCUCUGUCUGCUCCUCCCUCCCUGACUUCUCUCCAGUCACAAAGCACUCACCUCACUGUUUCCUGUCUUCCAGGCUCAACUGAGUUUGGUCACUGUGCAGCUCUCUGUAUCAGCUCACUGGCAACACCCAGCUCUGAUGGCUGCUUUCCUAGAGCUGGCCCACCUCUCUGCCUCCUUGGGCCUCACACACCAGGACCCUGGCAGCCCCAGCCGGCUCAUCACUGUGUGACAGGGCAUGCUAUUCUAGGCUGAGCUGCUGAACCCAGAACUUCAUACAUCCACCUCUGCAGAGCAGACCAGGAAGACUUCUCUGGGCUGACAUAGAAACUCCUUCUUCGUCUACUGUAGAACCUGCCCUAAGAGGACAGGCCCCUGGGUGUGUGUGGUGUGUGCACUAGGGGUUAGCCGGUGGAUUUCCAGAACUGGGUGUGAUCAGGGCAGAUGAAACACAAGACAGGUUAAGUCUUCCUUAGAACGUGUGUGUGUGUGUGUGUGUGUGUGUGUGUGUGUGUGUUUACACAGGACAGCCGGAAGCAGAGGUCAGCCCAGCUGCUACCGUGGUUUGGGAACAGGAUUAAAAAAACUACAACAUGCUGGGCUAGUGCUGGUUGCUGGGCAGUGCCUGUGUAUGUAACCAUAGCAACAGGGUUGGGUGGGGACUGGAGCAGAAAAAAGGGAAGUCUAGGUACUUGGCCUGUGAGCCACAAAGGAGCCAGAAGAAGCCUCAGAGGCAGGGGGCCCCACAACUAGACUUGCAAUUCCUCCCCAGGAGCACCCUAGCCUUCCCAUCCCUCCCCAGAGGCCCCAGGCUUCACCAGUAGCCUGUCCAGAGGUUAAAACCAGCCCAGUCUUCCCCUUUCCUGUCUACAUGCAGCCUGAGUCCUGGUUUCAUUGGAAAGACUUCAGAUCCAGUGAAGACUUCCAGACCCAAGACAGUGUGAGCCGUGGACGCACUUGUUAGUGUAAACACAUGGCUACUGUAUUGUCCUCUCACCCAUCACCAUCUGUGCUGUUCUCAGGAUAAGGGACAGGGCCAGGCAAGGCAGAUAAUCACAGCUGUUGCAACUAUGAACUCGAGCCACACUUACCUGUGAGUUACCAUCUUAUGAAGAGGACACUGAGGCUUUCGGAGAGACCGAAGGAUUUGUCCCUGGCCCCCAGCUAACGAGUGCAGUGCUGGAGCCUGGAUCCAGGAGUUGUGCCUCCAAAUGCAUCCUCCUCCUGCUCCCUCUCUGUUCUGUUAGGCACCGAAUGCCAGGAGCAGCUCCUACAAGCCCUGGAGUUCAGAACCUGAAAGGCUGCGGCCAUCCAUCCGUCCGUCAUGCAGAAGAAAUAGCUCAUCCAGCCCCACCCAGCCUGAGGCAUGGGGAGAAAGCAAGAGGCCCUGCUGGUGAGUAUAGGCUCCACCUUCAACUAGUACCUCAAAGGGGUGCAUCAGGAAGAUAACAACCUCCACAUGAGUGGCUUCAGGGAGCCAUGAAGAAUUCUCCCCCAACCUUGCCAGAGACCAUCUUUGCUUAGUCUCUGGCCACGCCACGGCAGGAAGCGGAACCUGUAUACAUCCGAGACCAGAGUGCUACAACAGGGCAGGUGACACUCACUUGUCUCCUUCGUAGAGGUGAGGUUUCCGAAGGGUCUGAGUGAUGAAAGAGUUCUCCUCCUUGCUCAUGAACUCAGGCAAAGGGUGGGACAGGGGGCUCCAGUAACAGUCCUCACUCAGGGAGUGCAGCAGGACCCCUGCCAGGUGCUUGGCUGCCACCUGGCCAGAGGGACAGACACAGGCCGGGUUUCUUGUCUUCUGCUUGCCUGUGUGGCCCUCUGUUUCCCAAUUAGCAAAUCCACCCAAUGCAUGCUGUGCUGGGCCUCUGGAGGCCCCCACAACUUCAAUCCUGAGUCCCUCACUGCUCAGCCCAUGUACCACUGAAGCCCCCCACACCCCCAGGGGAUGGCCUUGCUCUACUCCAUAUCUCCUCUCCUCCAUCCGCUUCUACCCUCUGAGGACUCUGCCGUCCCUUCUAAGGGUGGGAGAAGGCAGGAGGCCACAGGUACAGGAGGCUCCCUUCCAGACGCCAUCUAGAGACUGAAAGUUGGCCCAAAAUUCUUGUGAGAAUAAUAAAAUAAAAAUUUGGAGGAACGAAGGUCUAAGAACACAGACCUAAGUUUGGACUACGAAAGGAAUUUUUUAAGACCAUAAAGAAGGGCUGGGGAGAUGGCUCAGAGGUUAAGAGCACUGCUCAGAAGGACAGUUUUGCUCAUGCAAGGGAUGGUAGUAGAUUUCAGUUGUGUUCUAAGGUUAGAGGCCAUUCGUCUUCCGUGCCCUGAUGAAGAAGAUAUGAAGAGAGUGCCUCCCAGGCUUGGCGGGAAAGUACUCUGGGAUCAAUUAACAAUGUCUGCUGAGAGCAGAAGAGGGUAGGCACAGGUAUGCAUGUGGCAUGUUUAGGUCAGGGGCCUUCUGCUAGGGCUUGUGUUGUCUCCCACCCAAAUUGACCUCUGCAUAAACCAGCCGCAGCCAACCGCCACAUUACCACUUUGAAGUUCUGCGUCGCUUUGGUCUCCACGGUCCUCAGAAUCUCCCGGAGCUCUCUCAUGCCUUUCACGAUGUUCCUGGGAUAGGAUAGCAAAAGGUGGGACCGUUGCUAGCUGAGCUCCACAGACACCCUCAUAGCCCAGCACCUAACAGGCUGCCUGUCUGCUUGAGCUUUUUAAACACCUUCAGUCAGUGGGAUAAAAGCCAGAGUUGUAACUUCAGGACCCUCGAGGUCUAGGACAGGUACGCAGAGAAGGAAGUUGCUCAGCAACUUGGGCUUCAGAUUUAUAACAAAGACACCAGUACUACAAGUAAGAUGUCACCGGUCCAAGUGCCUUGGGCUGUGUUGGACUUUCUGGCCUCUCCAUUUGACCCAUGGUGCAAUGGGUCCAUGUUGAAAUCCGUCCUCAAUGGUCCGUACCACCAGGGCCUGCCUCACCUGGAUGACCACACCAGCCAGACCCACUCCCUCAGGGCGUUACAGCAUGACUCACACUGAAAAAAUAUACCUCACAUCACAACUUGGUAUUUGAGUACGCUUUCCUUAUACAAAACUGGGUUCUUGACCCACUAUCUAUCUGCAUGCAGCCACUUCUGACUGCUCCAACCCAUGCCUCUGCCUGCUCUGCCUCUUAAAGAUGCUGGCUGCAGCAUACCUGGUCCAUUUUGCAACCCAAAUAGGUUGUGUCCUACAGUUUGAAAGUGGGGUCAUGAUCCUUGGAGGUGUCUAGCCAACACGGAACCCCCUCUGGAACAUCCACCUGAGGCUAGGUCCUUUGGUGGAAGGAUCUAGUGGCCGUCCUCAGCCUAACCUUCUGGAGCUGCUUGGCUUUCCUCCUUACAUCUCAGCUCCCACCACUCAAGCAAGGUUUUGCUGGAUAACCGUAGUUCUCUUGUCAAGUCUCAGACAUGCUCCCCCUGCCAUCCUUAAAAAUACCAGUUCUAACAUCA